AUGGCCCAAGGCCCAGCCGCAGUGCCCGCUGUUAACCCUAGCCCCGAGUCCCCCGAUCCAAUCUCUCCCCCUCGUUUCCCCUCAGCGCCGUCACCUCCCUCGCUACCGCGGCCGCUCCCCUCGAUCCCCAUCUUCCUGCGCCCGACCAUCUCCUCGCCGGCCGCCCGCAUCUCCCGCGCCACCGUCCGCUCCUCCCAUCGCCUCAAACCCCUCCACCCGAGCCGCUCCUCCUCACCUCGUCUCCCUCGUCGUGGCUGCCCACGAGGCUCCUGCCACCGGCACCUCUUCCUGGCCGGAUUCGUCGCCCGUCGCGCCAUCUCCUGCGCCCGGUCCCCUUGCCGGCUUGCUGCCUCCAGCCGCUCCUCUGCAGCUCCUCCUCCGCCUCGACCUCUCCGCCGGCAGCAGCAGCAGCUGCUGCACCCUCUCGCCAACGCCGCGCCCGAACCUUCCCCGACCUCCUCGUCGUCGCUUCGCCCGUCCGUGACCACCGGUGCCCUCGCCGGAGCUUCCGCAAGCCGUCCCCGCGGCUCCAAGCCCCUCCGCCAUCUCCCUGGCCAAGUUGACGCCAGGGCCGACCCCAAGCUCUCCUGUGCUGCCGUCAUCAGCCACAGGCUCAGGUCCGGCAAGAUCGCCUCUGCUGCUUCGUCGCCCUCCUGCGCCUCCCGCGAACCCGCCUUCCUUGCUGAGCCCCGUGGCGUGGCCCUUCUCCGGCAGCUAGCGCCCCUCCAUGGACGACCACCACUGCCGGUGCACGCCUCUGGAUUCGUCCAAGUCCGAUGUUGUUUUUUUACAACUACGCUGCGGAGACCAAGACCACCAAGUCCGCACGGGAGCCCGAACGACUACUUCCAUGACGAUGCGAGUACAAGUACCCUCUUCGUGGUUUUCGCCAAGUACCGCACCGGACGCCAAGUACCUCUUCGAGUUGACAAGACCGGCAAGCCCGACGACCUCGGACAUCUACGAAAACGUGUACCCCUAUCGUCGACCCUCAAAGACCCCGUGGACCCCGAACAUCUACGGAUCAUGAACAACUACUUCAUCUACGAAACGUGUACAACUACCGCCGCCGCCGUGUACCACUACUUCCACUACCGUCACAUGAACGACGACUUCCACUACGCCGUGUACGACUACUUCCCACGACGACCCGUCAAUGUCUACCUCCACUACGGCCCGUGA
This 1182-nucleotide ribosomal RNA is filed under the name Triticum aestivum (bread wheat). Its description in RNAcentral is "partial small subunit ribosomal RNA". Lineage: Eukaryota; Viridiplantae; Streptophyta; Magnoliopsida; Poales; Poaceae. The record is from RNAcentral.